This is a small nuclear RNA of Rattus norvegicus (Norway rat), 107 nucleotides long. Lineage: Eukaryota; Metazoa; Chordata; Mammalia; Rodentia; Muridae. The record is from Ensembl.
GUGCUCGCUUCGGCAGCACAUAUACUAAAAUUGGAACGAUACAGAGAAGAUUAGCAUGGCCCCUGCGCAAAGAAGCCAAGUAUUCACUUUCCUAGUUCCAACUAAAU